CCAGCACGUUUAUCAACAUGAAACUUUCCCCUGAUUAGUUGUAAUGAAUAUUCGAGGAUGAUUUUUAAGAGAGUAUAGGUGCCACAAAAUGUAUGUAUGAAUAUUGCACGAAUACUUUUGAAUUGGAAUGUUUGGAUGAUAACCUUUGAAUCGAAGCUUCUUUUUUUUGUCGUGUUUCAGGUUGUAGCCCCUUGCGAAUGACGACAAAGUGAAUGGCGGUAGAAUCGGUUGUACUUAGUUUAGCUCGUGCUUGUAACUUGUUGUAAUAAUUUUUCUUCUUUAUUUUGGACUGUGACUUGGGGUGCAGAGAUUUUU
RNAcentral lists this long non-coding RNA (315 nucleotides) under Linum usitatissimum (flax). Its description in RNAcentral is "long non-coding RNA (LUSI_LNC003576)". Lineage: Eukaryota; Viridiplantae; Streptophyta; Magnoliopsida; Malpighiales; Linaceae. The record is from RNAcentral.